GUUAAAUUAGAUUAAAUGAAGAUUAUAGGACUCAAAAUCCAGUGGGGCUUACACCCCGUGUGGGUUCGACUCCCACCUUCGGCACCA
RNAcentral lists this transfer RNA (87 nucleotides) under Thermoanaerobacter sp. RNAcentral describes it as "tRNA-Leu". Lineage: Bacteria; Bacillati; Bacillota; Clostridia; Thermoanaerobacterales; Thermoanaerobacteraceae. The record is from RNAcentral.